UACGAAGGGGGCUAGCGUUGUUCGGAAUUACUGGGCGUAAAGCGCACGUAGGCGGAUAUUUAAGUCAGGGGUGAAAUCCCAGAGCUCAACUCUGGAACUGCCUUUGAUACUGGGUAUCUUGAGUAUGGAAGAGGUAAGUGGAAUUGCGAGUGUAGAGGUGAAAUUCGUAGAUAUUCGCAAGAACAUCAGUGGCGAAGGCGGCUCACUGGCCCGGUACUGACGCUGAGGCGCGAAAGCGUGGGGAGCAAACAGG
RNAcentral lists this ribosomal RNA (253 nucleotides) under uncultured bacterium. RNAcentral's name for it is "partial 16S ribosomal RNA". It matches the Rfam family "Bacterial small subunit ribosomal RNA", at positions 524 to 776 of the family's 1533-position model. The record is from RNAcentral.